This is a long non-coding RNA of Halichondria panicea, 3208 nucleotides long. RefSeq lists it as uncharacterized. The transcript is spliced from 2 exons. Lineage: Eukaryota; Metazoa; Porifera; Demospongiae; Suberitida; Halichondriidae. The record is from RefSeq and is a predicted model, not a curated record.
UCAACCAGUAUCUCCUUAUACUCAUCGGCGCUGCAUUCCAUGUCAGUAAAAGUGAUUUUCUGUUCCCCUAAUCCACCAUCCAAAAGCGCUUCACGCUCCCACAUAGUCCCUGGAAUUUUGGACUGGUCACUUCUAGCAAGACAAUAGAAUGCAUGUGUCCAGCAUGUGCUUGCUUUUUGCUUCUUUUUGCCAGAGCCCACAGAAAAUAAUUUACGCUUCUUGCCAGCGUUUUAAGGUGCAAAAUUGAAUUUUUGCUCUUGGCCUAUCUCUUCCUUCACAUUCUUUAGAGUUUUGAGAGCCUUUUUCUGUAGGUCUCCUAUGACGUCAUCUAUAUAAUUAAUUAUAGGGACGAUUUAGCAAGGUAGUUUAGGCUAAAGUCUAGUCUAUGGGAAACAGGUAUUUGGUUGGUUUUAUACGUUACAAUACUCCUUGAAGUAGAAGUCUGCCCUACUGGAUGAUGAUGGAUUGCUCUGUAGAGAACUAAGGAGCUUAACAGCCUCCGCAACUUUAUCGAGAUCUUGUUUAGAGGUAGACAUGAGGUAGGUACCAAACAGUAAGUAUUUACUCUGAUUUGACCCUUGCACUUUGAACCUUUUACUCUAAAUAAAGUCCUUGCACUUUAACCUUUUGCUCUAAAUAAAGUGUGUGUUCCCUGAGCGCGUUAUCUAACCGUGUAUUGCUUGAGCGCGUCUUCUGAGCGCGUCUUCUGAGCGCGUUGCCUGAGCGCGUUCAGAACGCGUCUUCUGAACGUGUGUUGCCUCAGCACGUUUACUGAGCGCGUCUUCUGAGCGGGUUUCCUGAGCACGUUUUCUGAGUGCGUUGCCUGAGCGCGUCUUCUGAACGUGUGUUGCCUCAGCACGUUUACUGCCUCAGCACGUUUACUGAGCGCGUCUUCUGAGCGUGUGUUGCCUUAGCACGUUGCCUGAGCGCGUCUUCUGAGCGUGUGUUGCCUGAGCGCGUUGCCUGAGCGUGUCUUCUAACCGUGUGUUGACAUGAGUUUAUAUUCCCUUAUUUUUGACCCAAAUGGCCCUCCAUACAGGCAAGGCUAUUACAUUUUCCAUAUGAACAACGAGCAAGUGUGAGAUUGCAUCGCCACGAAAUCCACAACACAACCUCCACAACAUGGAAUUGAAUUUUGAUGGAGCGUGGCGGUGGAUUAAGACGAGAGCUGCUUCUGGAGCAACUGCUUCUGGAGUUGCAUACUGGACUGAAUAUGGCGCUUUAAUAGAUGGUGCCCUGGACCAUGUGCCAACAUUGGGAGAUUUAUUUGUUACGUUAUGACUGUCCAUUGUUUCAGUAAAGACUAUAAUUUGUGGACAAAGUGUGGACAAAGUGUGAUUUGUGAUGAAGAGCUCCGGAAGUCUUUUCCAGAUUUAUUGACCCGUUCGAAGUGCAAGCAGUAAAAGCUCCUAAUGAAGAGGCUCUAGUAGGUUCAAUGCUUUGCAUGUACUUGCCCUUCUACCUUUGUGUGAGGAGUUGUUGAUCAUUUGUACGAUGCCGUCUGUCCCUCGUGUUUUGAGGAGCCUACCAUUACCAAGUUACGAGAAGAUGCCCCCUGAAAUGCUUGCCCAUUCACAAGCAGGUUUUUCUCGUAGGCCUACGUCAAACACUUGCUCAACUGUGCUUUAUCACAUAUGAGUCUCACCUUACCAUGUGCAAAGGGGUUAAAGGUUAAAUUAAUUCAGCAUAAGUCAGGUAUAAGUCAGUAAGUCAGCAUUCUUCACUUGUGUAUAAGUCAGCACACUAGUCAGCAGCAUACUUGUGUAUAAGUCAGCUGCAUAUCGUGUGGAUCGUGUGGUGGUGGAAAUAUCCCACCAAAAUUAUGCCGUCCCACUGUGCCGAAAUCGUCAUUGCAUGCAAGUUUAUAUUUAUACUACAUGCUGCAUGUGUUCGUGUUCAUGCCUCAUCAAGCGAACAGUACCCUCGCGAAAAUAAGCCCAUCCCCUCUUUUGCUUCAAAGUUCUUGCACGAGGGUAUUUGUAUUUUCACUUGAUUAUAAGCCCACCCAGAAUAAGAACUGAAUGCCACAUGUUUACUAUUAAUUUUAGUGAAGAAAGGAAGUUUUAGGUAGUAGCUAGUAACUCCUUGCUGGACCAAGAUCAGACAUUAUAACUUUCUCUUUCUCUGUAUGGAUCUGUUUGCCCCUGAAGAUGUAUAUGCGUAGUCCUAUAUGCUGAGAAAGGAAACACAAAGUCUAAGAAAGUUAUUACAUAGGCUAAUUUUGCAGGUUACCUUGCCUUGGUUUUCUGAAACAGUAUGACCUACCAUCCUUCGAGAAGUUUCUGCUACAUCUAACAUCAACAGCAACAAAUAGAGUCAGACUCAGAGUCCACUUCUUCAUGUUCAUUCUCUUUAAUCAUACUCAUGCAUUAGUCAUACUCAUGCAUUAGUUUAUAACUUGUCAAUAAAAAUAAUGUUCAUACUAUGUAUUAAAAUGAAAGUAUUAACCCUUUCCCCGUUGAAGCCGUCAUAUGACGGCCACUCUAGUGGUCAUUUUCAAAAAUUUGUUGUGCCCGCUGUGUUGGAGCUAUGCACACGCUGUAGGUACCAGCACAUGCGCAUUGAGCUGCUCUUUCAUGUGGUAUAUUUAAUAUCUUGCCUUGAGGUACGCUUUGCACAGUACUGCUCAAAGAAAAGUGACCACAUGUGACUAAUCGAUAAUGGCUUCGAGAUCUUCUUAGUACAACCUCAGUGAGGUUCUAGGGCAGCUAGACAGUGAGGAGAACGAUGCUUAUGGCCUUGUUGAGUGAGAGGACAGUGACUGGGAUCAUAGCUAGAUAAGAAACUACCUCAAGCUAGAAAAUAUAGAGCCUGAGGAACCUGAUGAAGAAGCUCUUGGGAUGGACUGAGUUCCUGGAUCUGGCGAAGAAAACAUUUCCCGGGAAAAUGGCGUCUGCCGAUGUGACCUCACAGACAAGUUUCUGCUGAUCCUGCUUGAACCAUGUCUCCGUGAGAACAUUGAGAACACUUAUUCAGUGUCUUUAGUCACUUUGUGCCUUCAUACAAUAUUGUUUGUGUACAUAAUUGUAAAUGUUUGUAAACAAUCGCUAAUUAGGGGGGUGGUCAGUUGCUAGGUAACGAUGAUGGUGUCAAGAUACCUCUGGGGUCUGCGCUACCUGUAGGAAAUAGUUACAAGUCAUUUCAAUGUAUGGUUCAUGAUAUAUGAAUUUUUAAAGAAAAACUGUAUUUAUUCUGUAUUUUCUUUUUU